CCUACGGGAGGCAGCAGUGAGGAAUAUUGGUCAAUGGACGCAAGUCUGAACCAGCCAUGCCGCGUGCAGGAAGACGGCUCUAUGAGUUGUACACUGCUUUUGUACGAGGGUAAUCGCAGAUACGCGUAUCUGUCUGAAAGUAUCGUACGAAUAAGGAUCGGCUAACUCCGUGCCAGCAGCCGCGGUAAUACGGAGGAUUCAAGCGUUAUCCGGAUUUAUUGGGUUUAAAGGGUGCGUAGGCGGUCGGAUAAGUUAGAGGUGAAAUCCCGAGGCUCAACUUCGGAAUUGCCUCUGAUACGGUUCGGCUAGAGAGUAGUUGCGGUAGGCGGAAUGUAUGGUGUAGCGGUGAAAUGCUUAGAGAUCAUACAGAACACCGAUUGCGAAGGCAGCUUACCAAGCUACUUCUGACGUUGAGGCACGAAAGCGUGGGGAGCAAACAGGAUUAGAUACCCGGGUAGUC
This 460-nucleotide ribosomal RNA is filed under the name uncultured bacterium. RNAcentral describes it as "partial 16S ribosomal RNA". It matches the Rfam family "Bacterial small subunit ribosomal RNA", at positions 338 to 795 of the family's 1533-position model. The record is from RNAcentral.